RNAcentral lists this non-coding RNA (22 nucleotides) under Arabidopsis thaliana (thale cress). The record is from RNAcentral. Lineage: Eukaryota; Viridiplantae; Streptophyta; Magnoliopsida; Brassicales; Brassicaceae.
UAGUUUAUGAAUAUCAAAGAUU